UUUCUCUCCGCUCCACGACCGCUCCAACAACGCUCGGGCGGUGUGACAAGGCCUUUAAACGUUGCACAAACUUUGAUGGAGCGGUUGUACGGGGUCGCUCGAACUGUGUCUGGCGUUGAAGCAGCGACCCUUUGCGGUGGUGAACUUUGGUUUGGCAUUGGUAUGGAGGUGUCGGAGCGGACCAGCGCCAAAGCAACGCCGGCUUCAGUGGUGCACCGCUAAGGCAAUGCCCGUGUUUUCGAUUUUCCCCCAUUUUGUGCGAAGUGACGAGCGUUGUCGAAAUUUAGCGGUGUGACCGAUUUUUGACUUUUGAAUUCAUUGUUCUUGCGAUCAUCAGCCCAUGAAAAUAGGCGAAUUCGACUUCAGAUCACUCCAACGUAUCAUGCAUAUUGCAGCUAUAACUAGGGGAUUCCAAAGAAGAAUAAAGGCUCUUUCAACAUGUUCAAUGGGUUAUACACAUGAUUAUAGAAAACAGCAUUGAAGCUGAUUGUUAUGAAACAUUCUUAUUUUUUCUACCAUUCGAUUCGGGGGUAGAAAUGCUGUCGAGUUAUACUUUCGCAAGUAGGACAUGAAACCUUUUGGAACAAUGUUGUGGUAAUUCAACAAACUGCAUUUUGGUACGUUUACAAGAAAAGCCGGGCCAGCUGACUGAAGAUUUGGGUCGAAGACUUAUUUCGUAAUAAUCCCCUGACACUUCGAGCAUGCAAUCAGAAAAUCGCCGACAGGAGACAGAUCCGGACGGACUCGAUAUGGAUCAUUUGAGAGACGUUAUAGUUGUUGGAGCGGGCCUUAGUGGUUUAUCAGCCGCCAUGCUCUUACAUGAAUCUGGCCAAGAUGUACUGGUACUAGAAGCAAAUGAUCGAGUUGGAGGACGGACUCUCAAUUUCUAUGACGAGGCAAUAGACUACACCGAUUUGGGCGGGGCUUACAUAGGACCUACCCAGGAUCGCAUCUACCGACUCGCCAAAGAAAUGGGUGUGGACACCGUACGUUGCUAUGACACCGGAAUGGCAAUUUCAUACCACAGGGGAAGGUGGCGGAAGAUGUCGGGUUUGCAUCCUGGCACCUGGAAUCCCCUGGAGAAUCUAGAACUCAACCACUUUUGGCAUCUCAUAGAUAGAAUGGGAGAAAAGAUUCCGUUGGAUCGUCCCUGGGACUUCCCUGAAGCCGCAGAAUGGGAUAGCAUGACGGUGAAGGAAUGGGCUGAGAAGACCUUCUGGUUCCAACUGACCAGAGAUGUGCUCUAUGUCCAUUGUUCUGCUGAAUUCUGUGCCGAGGCCAAGGAUCUAUCUCUCCUCUAUUUCCUCUGGUACAUUAAAGAAGGCGGUGGAUAUAUGCGGCUGUCGGCUACUGACAAUGGUGCUCAGGAAAGAAAGUUCGUGGGCGGAAGUCAAAGAAUUUGCCUCAAUAUAGCAGAACGUCUUGGGAGAGGUAAUGUUUUACUGAGUAAACCAGUGUCUAGUAUAGAACAGGAUUCCGAUGGAGUGAAGGUAACGACAAUAUCUGGAGAUUCAUUUAAGGCAAAGUAUAUAAUAACGGCACUUCCUCCGGCGAUGCUUUGUAAGAUUAAAUUCACGCCAAGUCUCCCAGCCCUCAGAAAUCAGCUGAAUCAAAGAUAUCCAAUGGGAUCUGUGAUCAAGACUAUGAUGUAUUAUAAACGCCCAUUCUGGCGUGAUCAAAAUUUUUCAUGUAAUAUCUACGCAGACGGGAUUAUUUCAGCGACUCAAGACGACUGUUCGGAAGGCAGUAAUGCUAUUAUAGGAUUUAUGACGGGUGAUUCGGCAAGAGAACAUUGUCAUCUUACAAAAGAAGAAAGGAAAGAUCUAAUCGCCAAACAAUAUGCUGUACUGUUGAGAACUGACGAAGCACUUGAGCCAAUAUUCUAUGUUGAGAAGAACUGGAUGGAAGAGCCUUAUAUUGGUGGAGGAUAUGUAGGAUACACUGCUCCAGGUGUUAUAACAAAGUACUGCAAGGUUAUUCGAGAGCCAAUCGGUCGUCUUUUCUUUGCUGGUACCGAGACAGCUACAAAGUGGUCUGGAUACAUGGACGGGGCUGUCCAGGCAGGAGAGAGGGCUGCAAGAGAGGUUCUACAUGCAAUGGGUAAAGUCCGGAAAGAUGAGAUAUGGCAAGAAGAGCCUGAAUGUAAGGACAUGCCUGCACUUCCAUUCCAAGAAACCUUCCUCGAGAGAAGUCUACCGUCCGUGAGUGGCUUCUUAAUCUUCCUAGGAACUUCUCUCACUCUAUUAGCAGUAGGCGAGGCUCUGUGGAUGUGUAGAGGUGCCCUCCAACUACAAAGGGUCAACUAAGCAACUCUCUGGAAAUAUUCAAGUAUGGGGGGAAUAUACGCUCUACUAGGUGGUGAACUUAGUAAGUGAGGGCGAUCCAAAUGUCC
RNAcentral lists this unclassified non-coding RNA (2392 nucleotides) under Lytechinus variegatus (green sea urchin). RNAcentral describes it as "amine oxidase [flavin-containing] B-like, transcript variant X3". Lineage: Eukaryota; Metazoa; Echinodermata; Echinoidea; Temnopleuroida; Toxopneustidae. The record is from RNAcentral.